Small nuclear RNA from Brassica oleracea var. oleracea, 96 nucleotides. The record is from Rfam. Lineage: Eukaryota; Viridiplantae; Streptophyta; Magnoliopsida; Brassicales; Brassicaceae.
GUCCUGACGGGGACAUUCGAAGAAAUUAGAAUGACACAAAGAAAAUUAGCAUGGCCUCUGUGCACACAUGCAUGUCCAGAAAUAAUUCAAUUUUAU